UCCGUAGGUGAACCUGCGGAAGGAUCAUUAUUGAAUAAAGUCUGGCAAGAGACUGUUGCUGGCACAAUAAGUGACAUGUGCACGUCUCUAUAAAUGCCAGUUUUCGUUCACGUUCUCCUGUGCAUUUAUGUAGACACCUUGGAUGGAGGAACUUUGACUGGUUUCUUGCUAGAGAAAAGAUAUCAGGGUGUCUAUGCUUUUUAACAGACACAAUGCAUGUAUUAUAGAAUGGCUAAGGUCAAUGAACAAAGUUAAAUGUAAAUAUAACUUUCAACAAUGGAUCUCUUGGCUCUCGCAUCGAUGAAGAACGCAGCGAAAUGCGAUAAGUAAUGUGAAUUGCAGAAUUCAGUGAAUCAUCGAAUCUUUGAACGCAUCUUGCGCUCCUUGGUAUUCUGAGGAGCAUGCCUGUUUGAGUGUCAGCAAAUUCUCAAAAGUCCUUUGAUUUGUUUUGGAGGGCCUUUGGACAUUGGGAGCUGCAGGUUUAUGAAGCCAGCUCUCCUUAAAUGAAUUAGCAGAGAAUAAGGUGAUUAUCUGUUGGUGUGAUAAAAUCAUUUGCACCAUGAAGCCCUUUAUGAUCUCUGCUUUGUAAUAUAUCUCUGUCUUUGAGAUAUUAAUUAACUGACUUGACCUCAAAUCAGGUAGGAUUACCCGCUGAACUUAAGCAUAUCAAUAAGCGGAGGA
This 681-nucleotide unclassified non-coding RNA is filed under the name uncultured Basidiomycota. RNAcentral's name for it is "partial contains 18S rRNA, ITS1, 5.8S rRNA, ITS2 and 28S RNA". The stretch from base 266 to 419 matches the Rfam family "5.8S ribosomal RNA". The record is from RNAcentral. Lineage: Eukaryota; Fungi; Basidiomycota.